RNAcentral lists this long non-coding RNA (737 nucleotides) under Parus major (Great Tit). RNAcentral's name for it is "lncRNA (ENSPMJG00000011202.1)". The record is from RNAcentral. Lineage: Eukaryota; Metazoa; Chordata; Aves; Passeriformes; Paridae.
CUCUCCCCUCUGCUUAGUGUUUGGCUGGUAAUCCAAGUGGGAUGAGGAGCAUUGCAGACUGCAAUUCUCUAGUCUGUGAAUUUAAUGGCACUGUCACUGGUUUGAAGUGAGUGGUUUCUGGCAAUCAACAUCUGCAUGGAAAUAUUUGUCCUGUGGCUCAGGAUGCUGUAGAGCCAAUGGCAGGAGUUGACUGGAAAGAGAGACCUAUCAAUUGUCAGGAGGGUAGGUCCAAGGAAAUCUGUAGAAGAGGAUGCACUACAUGUCACUUCAUGGCAUGCUUGAGAAGAGUGCCUUUUAGGCAGAACUCUGAGAAGGAUGAAUAUGUAUUAUCCUCAGCCUGAAAUGCUCGUUCACCCUCUCUGAGCUCCUCAGUUGUGCCCAUGCUCAGUCCUGGAGACAAUGCUGCUUCCUAAUCUGCAAGGCACUCUGCUGGCUGCUUCCUCUGGAGGACAUCCCUUUCUCAUGCUAUUCAUGGGAUUUCCAAACAAUGAAAUUUGCUACUAUAUAGCUGCUUAACUGAAAAUAACCUAGUGCUAAAUAGCUCUGAUUGUUUUUUAAUGUUUGUGUGAGGAGGGAAAGGAGGCUUUACAAACACUGCUGGUAUGAGGGGUCACUUGUCAUUGAGGAACCACAGCUGUAUCACUUACAACCAUUAGGAACUGCAACCAUGGUGGCAGCCAAUAAGAUCAGAAUAAGAACACAAUAAAUACCUGUUGCCUUAUCCUCUGAUUUAUUGC